This 446-nucleotide ribosomal RNA is filed under the name uncultured bacterium. RNAcentral's name for it is "bacterial SSU rRNA". It matches the Rfam family "Bacterial small subunit ribosomal RNA", at positions 330 to 795 of the family's 1533-position model. The record is from RNAcentral.
GCCAGACUCCUACGGGAGGCAGCAGUAGGGAAUCUUUCACAAUGGGCGAAAGCCUGAUGGAGCAACGCCGCGUGCAGGAUGAAGGCCUUCGGGUUGUAAACUGCUUUUAUAAGCGAGAAAUAUGAUGGUAACUUAUGAAUAAGGAUCGGCUAACUCCGUGCCAGCAGCCGCGGUAAUACGGAGGAUGCGAGCGUUAUCCGGAUUUAUUGGGUUUAAAGGGUGCGCAGGCGGCACGGCAAGCCGGCGGUCAAAUCGCGGGGCUCAACCCCGCCCAGCCGUCGGAACUGCCGGGCUAGAGUGGGCGAGAAGUGCGCGGAAUGCGUGGUGUAGCGGUGAAAUGCAUAGAUAUCACGCAGAACUCCGAUUGCGAAGGCAGCAUACCGGCGCCCAACUGACGCUCAGGCACGAAAGCGUGGGUAUCGAACAGGAUUAGAUACCCCGGUAAC